RNAcentral lists this ribosomal RNA (246 nucleotides) under uncultured bacterium. RNAcentral describes it as "partial 16S ribosomal RNA". It matches the Rfam family "Bacterial small subunit ribosomal RNA", at positions 1246 to 1500 of the family's 1533-position model. The record is from RNAcentral.
GCAGCUACACAGCGAUGUGAUGCUAAUCUCCAAACCAUGUCUCAGUUCGGAUCGGAGUCUGCAACUCGACUCCGUGAAGCUGGAUUCGCUAGUAAUCGCGCAUCAGCCAUGGCGCGGUGAAUACGUUCCCGGGCCUUGUACACACCGCCCGUCAAGCCAUGGGAGCCGGGGGUACCUGAAGUCCGUAACCGCGAGGAUCGGCCUAGGGUAAAACUGGUGACUGGGGCUAAGUCGUAACAAGGUAGC